RNAcentral lists this ribosomal RNA (300 nucleotides) under uncultured bacterium. RNAcentral's name for it is "bacterial SSU rRNA". It matches the Rfam family "Bacterial small subunit ribosomal RNA", at positions 399 to 691 of the family's 1533-position model. The record is from RNAcentral.
GCGUGCAGGAAGAAGGCCCUCGGGUUGUAAACUGCUUUUGUACGGAACGAAAAGGUCCUGGCUAAUAUCUGGGGCUGAUGACGGUACCGUAAGAAUAAGCACCGGCUAACUACGUGCCAGCAGCCGCGGUAAUACGUAGGGUGCAAGCGUUAAUCGGAAUUACUGGGCGUAAAGCGUGCGCAGGCGGCUGUGUAAGACAGGUGUGAAAUCCCCGAGCUCAACUUGGGAAUUGCACUUGUGACUGCAUAGCUAGAGUACGGCAGAGGGGGAUGGAAUUCCGCGUGUAGCAGUGAAAUGCGU